Molecule: unclassified non-coding RNA, 351 nt
Filed under: uncultured Ascomycota
Lineage: Eukaryota; Fungi; Ascomycota
Description: sequence contains ITS1
Rfam family: 5.8S ribosomal RNA (bases 1-105)
Source: RNAcentral
GAAAUGCGAUACGUAAUGCGAAUUGCAGGACCCAGCGAGCCAUCGAAUUCUUGAACGCACAUUGCGCCCGCCGGAACUCCGGCGGGCCUGCCCGUCCGAGCGCCGCCUCGACACCACUCGUCCCCCCCCACGCUCUCUGUGGGAGGGGCGGCGUUGGCACCCGCCCGCGGUCCGUCCGCUGGCAGGAGCCCAAAUGGAUCGAGCGGCGCGACUCCCCCGUCCCCGGCGCAGCGACCGAAAGGACUCGCCGCGGGAGCCACUUCAGGGGGUGCCGCCGCCCCGCCCAAGCGCGGAGAAGCAUGCAUGACACACGUCGGCCUCGGAUCGGGCAGGGCUACCCGCUGAACUUAA